RNAcentral lists this ribosomal RNA (468 nucleotides) under uncultured bacterium. Its description in RNAcentral is "partial 16S ribosomal RNA". It matches the Rfam family "Bacterial small subunit ribosomal RNA", at positions 28 to 507 of the family's 1533-position model. The record is from RNAcentral.
GACGAACGCUGGCGGCGUGCUUAACACAUGCAAGUCGAACGGAAAGGCCCUGCUUUUGUGGGGUGCUCGAGUGGCGAACGGGUGAGUAACCCGUGAGUAACCUGCCCCUGACCUUGGGAUAUCUUCAUGCAACUGGGGGUAAUCACGGCUAGGAGCUCUUGCUGUUUGGUGGGGGUUGGAUAGUUUAGGCGGUUGGGGGUGGACUGGCGGCUGAUCAGGUUGUUGGUGGGGUGGUGGCUUACCAUGGCCUUGACGGGUAGCCGACCUGAGCGGGGGACCGGCCACACUAGGAUUGGGAUGCGGCACAGCCUCCUACGGGAGGCAGCAGUGGAGAGGAGUGCACAAGGGGAGGAAGCCUGAUGUGGCAACGCCGCGUGCGGGAUGACGGCCAUCGGGUUGUAUACCAAUUCCGCCUUUGACGAGACGUGAAUGACGGUAAUGGGUAAAGAAGCACCGGCUAACUACGUG